Molecule: ribosomal RNA, 493 nt
Filed under: uncultured bacterium
Lineage: Bacteria
Description: bacterial SSU rRNA
Rfam family: Bacterial small subunit ribosomal RNA
Source: RNAcentral
GGACGACGCUGGCGGCGUGCCUAACACAUGCAAGUCGAGCGGAGUCGGUAAGAGGAAGUUUUCGGAUGGAAUCUUAUUGAUUUAGCGGCGGACGGGUGAGUAACGCGUGAGCGACCAACCUUGCACAGGGGGAUAACGGACCGAAAGGUUCACUAAUACCGCAUGAGACCACGGUGUUGCGUGACACAGAGGUCAAAGGAGCAAUCCGGUGCAAGACGGGCUCGCGUCCGAUUAGGUAGUUGGAGGGGUAACGGCCCACCGAGCCUAUGAUCGGUAGCCGACCUGAGAGGGUGAUCGGCCACAUUGGAACUGAGAUACGGUCCAAACUCCUACGGGAGGCAGCAGUGGGGAAUAUUGGGCAAUGGGGGAAACCCUGACCCAGCAACGCCGCGUGAAGGAAGAAGGUUUUCGGAUUGUAAACUUCUGUCCUUGGUGAAGAGAAGAAGACGGUAGCCAAGGAGGAAGCCCCGGCUAACUACGUGCCAGCAGCAGC